CAAAGUCUACAGCCAUUUCCAUCCCUCUCUGUAUAAGGCUUACAUAGGUCACAGUUAUUAUGCGUUGUGGUUUUAAGAGCUAGAGUUUGCAUUGUAAUCUCGACAGCAUUGACUCUGGUGGUAUUUACGUAUGUUAUUUUGUACAAACAGCAAUGUUAGUGUAACAAUUGUACCCUCGUCCAACGCAAUGAUCUAUCGGUGUUAUCCAGGCUGAUGGCACAUUUCAAUAUGGAAACAACAAUGAUGGACCCCAACCUGCUGACUUCACCCAAAGAAGGGUUGAAGCGAGACUUGGACAACUCGGAUCUUGCAUGGGUGGUCCCAAUUAUUCUCUUAUUCAUAGCUGCGUUUGUCGGGUUGGGUCUGCUGUUAUUUUACUGCAUCAGAGGAUCGGAGUUAUGGUGUAUUCGAUGCCUCUAUCGUUGCUGUGGAGCAUGCGCAGACACUAUUCAUAGGAAAUACAAAAGUGAAAAGGAAGAGUAUAGACGUUUGCGGGAUCGCCAAGAAACAAGUGUGAAAAUGAGACUGACAGAGUUCAACCGAAGUUAUUCGGCUGGGAUAAGAAACACAGAUGCCCCAGAUGUCUAGCCUUUGGACGUUAACAAACCCAAGAGACGUAUAGAACGUAACCCUAUGAGGCGUAAGCGAGAAGAAAUUUCAGAUUUGACUUCUGGAUCCGUGCCCUGUGUCUUGGACAAUAUAUUUCCCAUUGUCAUACGAUUGCGCAUAAAUUUAGCAUCAUUCGAACUAUUGGUAAUAUCUAUUACGAUUUCCAAUGACCAUGAUUUUGCUCAAUAUAUUACGUAAAUGCUUAUAGCUAAUUAUUUUUGUUAACUGUCCGUCUGUGAAACAGGUUGACAAAUUCGACACAUUUUAGGUAAUUUAUUGUUGUCUAUGUCAUUCCACUGACUGAAAAUGCAGAUUUUGGACAAAGAAAUACAUGUAUAUUGUCUAUGACUCAUAUCCCCACAUAUACAUACAAGAAAAGUAUGCUAGAAUCCAGUGCUAGAAAUACUUAAAGGGAAAGAAAAUAUAAAAAUAACGUAAGAAUCAGUGGCAAGACCUUUAAAAAUUGUAUCUGAAAAUUACUUCACAUAUUUUUUAGAUUUCUUUUUCACUGAAUUAAAACUGUCAAACGUUUUGGAUUGCACAGUGGGCUGUAUGGGCCAUAUACGCCGCAAAUGACGUCACGACAAUUUUUUUCUCUGGUCGUCAUAUAGGGGUUUAAUGUCAGAUUCUCUUUCUCUUGCACAGGCACACUGCUUGAUGGUUCAUAAAAACUUUAUUCAGGCCUGAAAAUAGGCCUAGAAGAUGAAGUGAAAGUUGUGUGUUGUAUUUAAAUUUGGUACUUAAAGCCCACCUUACAAUACACACAUUUAUUAUGCAAUGGAUAAAAUCUAUAUAGCAUAUACCUCAUUUUAUUGUGAGUCAUACCAGACAGGAUGAUAUAAAUUCGGUUUUGAGCAACGAGAACACAUGCAUUGCAUGUCAGUGGCACAUUGAUUCAAUAAAUAGAAGUCAUAUGUAUACGUGUGUAUAGGAUUAUAUAAAGACAUUUAUGAGCAGUUUGCCGUUCCUGCAUUGAAUGAUAUUAAAAGCAUCGUGAAGUAGAUGUUUUCAAUGCCAUUGCAUUAUCGCUCAUGUUUGAAAUCAUUAAAAAAUGUUUUAAGCGUAUAAAAUAUUGCAUGAUAUACUAUGUAUAAAGCGAAACAGUUUUAAAUUAUAACAUGCAAAAAAUAAAAAGCAGUCAAACGUAUGCGCCAUAUGAAAUUUGAGCGUAUAGUCUUUGUUCAGCAGUCUACGACAUUUUCAUUGUGAUCAAUGCCACUCACCAGCAUGGUGAAAUCCGCCUCAAUCUAGAACUGUCCAUUCAAAAUACAUAAUGAAGGAAUUUAUUAUGAACUUCGGGCACUACUGAAGCAACCCAAAUGCUGAAUACGAAACAGACGAGGAGUGAAGAUGGGAUAUUGGCACAAAGCGAUGGGAUGAUCACACGAAGCGAUCGACUGAUAGAAGUAAGCAGUGAGAUGAUGGCAC
Long non-coding RNA from Liolophura sinensis, 2037 nucleotides. RefSeq lists it as uncharacterized. The record is from RefSeq and is a predicted model, not a curated record. The transcript has 3 exons. Lineage: Eukaryota; Metazoa; Mollusca; Polyplacophora; Chitonida; Chitonidae.